CGCAAUUCCAUAGAUGUGGUUUGGCUUCAACGUGCAGGAGGAGGCAGCUAUACCAAAACUAGAAGCCUAUCUUGGUUAUAAGAGCAAAUCUAUCUCAAUUUACAGGACAACAGACCAAAACUAGCCAAGUACAGCAAAGCAGCUGUUGGCUGGAUUCCUGUUUUCUCAUCUAUCGGCAAAAUCUUGUCUCCACUAUCAAAUCUUCUUUCAGUUAUCUCAUCUGGAUUCCAGUUGCUGCCAAUCAUUCGAAAGCAUUGACUAAGAGAAUGCAUCGACAAUCAAGCCUUGCAGCGGUGGCUAAAAAGGGGGUAACAACUCAGACGCCAUUGGCUGAUCAUUUGCUGCACCUUUGGUGGUUUUCAUUGAAUCACUAGCAUCAGCUGCUGCUUUGCCCUUUUUUCUUGCAUAGACCGCUGGCGAUGUUCAUAAAAGGCAAAAUUAUCAAGAACAGAUGUGUUGUUUAUAUGCUCCUUGAAAAUCUUGAGCAUCUGGAGGCCCUUCUCUAACUCCACCUGCGUGAUAUGAUUAGCAAAAAUCAAUUGUAUUUUAUGUGCUGAUACAUGUCAUAAUCUGACAUACCUCCUGAGUUUCUCGACUGUUGGUAACAGGUUUGUUCUCGUUGUUCUCUAGCGUGAUAUACUUCAGAAUGCUAUUUGGGGCAUCCUUAAUAAUAUGCCACUUGACUGGGAAGCAGCCAAUCCACUUAUUUUGCUGCCAAAAGUCCGCAGUCUUGUUGAAAUUUACACGACCAACCAUCUCUGCGAUACCGAUAAAUUGUUAC
Molecule: long non-coding RNA, 781 nt
Organism: Zingiber officinale
Lineage: Eukaryota; Viridiplantae; Streptophyta; Magnoliopsida; Zingiberales; Zingiberaceae
Exons: 2
Source: RefSeq, a predicted model, not a curated record